Molecule: long non-coding RNA, 537 nt
Organism: Hyalella azteca
Lineage: Eukaryota; Metazoa; Arthropoda; Malacostraca; Amphipoda; Hyalellidae
Exons: 3
Source: RefSeq, a predicted model, not a curated record
CCACAUAUAGCGGAAAAUUUAAAUGAAUAUUCACAUUAUACCCUGUUGAUUGAAUAGAUGCACGAUGAACAUCGAAAAAAUGCUGGAGAUGAAAACGCAAUGGCUUGUGCAACUGCGCAUGCGACAGAUGAAAUUUGGAUUAUGGAUAACAAUAUUCACUGCUUCAUUGCUGGUUUUCUGCUAUCAAAGCAGCAUCAGACUUUCAGAUAGUCCUCCUGACUGGCCACCAAGGGGCUACUCAUUCACGGAGUAACACGUACUGGCUCCCCAUCCAGAUACAUAUCCCUAUCCAUAUCCACAAACUCGCCAUCAUCCUCUUACCCUGGCGCUUUAAGCUUAGAACUCAGCCGCAACUUGCAUCCUGGCGGAACCUUGCAUCCUGGUGGAACCUUGCAUCCUGGUGGAACCUUGCAUCCUUGUGGAGCAUUGCAUCCUGGUGGAAGUGAUACCCCGAUCUUACGCUGUUUAAGGGCACCAGUAUCCUGGCCUUACUUUUUCUGCUUGAUUUCUAUUUUUUAUUAAAUGUUAAGUAAGUUA